This 460-nucleotide ribosomal RNA is filed under the name uncultured bacterium. RNAcentral's name for it is "partial 16S ribosomal RNA". It matches the Rfam family "Bacterial small subunit ribosomal RNA", at positions 338 to 795 of the family's 1533-position model. The record is from RNAcentral.
CCUACGGGAGGCAGCAGUGAGGAAUAUUGGUCAAUGGACGCAAGUCUGAACCAGCCAUGCCGCGUGCAGGAAGACGGCUCUAUGAGUUGUAAACUGCUUUUGUACGAGGAUAAACGCAGAUACGCGUAUCUGUCUGAAAGUAUCGUACGAAUAAGGAUCGGCUAAAUCCGUGCCAGCAGCCGCGGUAAUACGGAGGAUUCAAGCGUUAUCCGGAUUUAUUGGGUUUAAAGGGUGCGUAGGCGGUCUGAUAAGUUAGCGGUGAAAUCCCGGGGCUCAACUUCGGAAUUGCCUCUGAAACUGUGCGGCUAGAGAGUAGUUGCGGUAGGCGGAAGGUAUGGUGUAGCGGUGAAAUGCUUAGAGAUCAUACAGAACACCGAUUGCGAAGGCAGCUUACCAAGCUACUUCUGACGUUGAGGCACGAAAGCGUGGGGAGCAAACAGGAUUAGAUACCCGAGUAGUC